Molecule: ribosomal RNA, 460 nt
Filed under: uncultured bacterium
Lineage: Bacteria
Description: partial 16S ribosomal RNA
Rfam family: Bacterial small subunit ribosomal RNA
Source: RNAcentral
CCUACGGGGAGCUGCAGUGAGGAAUAUUGGUCAAUGGACGAGAGUCUGAACCAGCCAAGUAGCGUGAAGGAUGACUGCCCUAUGGGUUGUAAACUUCUUUUAUAUGGGAAUAAAACGUUCCACGUGUGGGAUUUUGUAUGUACCAUAUGAAUAAGGAUCGGCUAACUCCGUGCCAGCAGCCGCGGUAAUACGGAGGAUCCGAGCGUUAUCCGGAUUUAUUGGGUUUAAAGGGAGCGUAGGUGGAUUGUUAAGUCAGUUGUGAAAGUUUGCGGCGCAACCGUAAAAUUGCAGUUGAAACUGGCAGUCUUGAGUACAGUAGAGGUGGGCGGAAUUCGUGGUGUAGCGGUGAAAUGCUUAGAUAUCACGAAGAACUCCGAUUGCGAAGGCAGUUCACUGGACUGCAACUGACACUGAGGCUCGAAAGUGUGGGUAUCAAACAGGAUUAGAUACCCGAGUAGUC